ACAAAACUCUUUAGAGUUUUACCCAGUAUUCAUUAUUACAUUGUGGGUGGCUGGAUGGUAUUUCAACCAAGUUUUUGCCACUUGUCUGGGUCUGGUGUACAUCUAUGCCCGUCACCAGUAUUUUUGGGGAUAUUCAGAAGCUCCUAAAAAAAGGAUCACUGGUUUCCGGUUAAGUCUGGGGGUUUUGGCCUUGUUGGCCGUCCUAGGUGCUGUGGGGAUUACAAACAGCUUUCUGGAUGAAUAUCUGGACCUCAAUAUUGCCAAGAAACUGAGGCACUUCUAAAGUGGCCCUCUCCUUUCGCUCAAAUGCCUGCAGAAGAUGUUUCUACUCUGAAGGUUAGAUGGUCUCUCUUGUUCAAUUAAAAGCAAUAAAAAUCCCUAUUUGGUUUUUUUUUUUUUUUUUUUCUUCCUGAAAUGGCUCUGUAGAAUCAUACCCUUUCGAUUUUUCCUGUUAGUUUAAGGACCGAAGUUUGCUCUGAGGGGACGUACCCAUGGCAACAGGGAAGGGUGCCGAGCCCUGGCUAUAGAAGUACGUGCCCAAGUCAGAACCGCUUAUGUGGGGAGCAGCUUACCCUGUCUGUGUCCAGGGCUUUCUGUGGUCCACUGCAAUCACUAGCCUCUGAGACUGCUUCUCUCCUGAUGGCAAGUUCCAGGGUGAUGCUGAUAAGGCAGCUGCCACCCACGGGUUGCAGGACAGCCACAGAUGGUGGCGAAAAUGAGGCAAAUACAUAGAGUAGCCAGAGAAGACAGCCAUCAGCUAACAGCACAAAACAAUUCCAGCUGUGGAAAAGGGCUUUAUAAAGACCAAAGGAAGAAGUUCCCCUCAUGGUUCCUAGUUGGAUUCGUUUCUGCUGUGCCAUGAUGGGAAUUCCCAAUUAAAAAUAAUUCAUUAGGACAAGGAGGAGUACUCAGCCCUUCUCAGACUUCAUAUUUUUAUUCUGUGUCAGCCUUCCCCCCCCCCAGCCCCUGAAUCUGUUAAUUUUUGAUCUCAUGUCACUAAGCCAAUAUUAGUGGGACAAGGCCGAAUGUCACAUUGUUUUCUCCAUGGUAUUUGCCAGUGAGUGUGGACCACAGCCCACCCUGAGUAGGGCUGGCCCCUUCUUCCUUAGUCAAGUUCAUUUUUUUCUCUUGGAAUUUGUGCAUAUUAAAACUCAUCUUUGUUUCAGAUUUUUUUUUUUUUUUCUUUUUAGGGCCAAACCAUGGCAUAUGGAGGUUUCUAGGCUAAGAGGUUGAAUUGGAGCUGUAGCCACUGGCCUAUGUCAUAGCCACAGCAAUGUCAGAUCUGAGCCGUGUCUGCGACCUACACCACAGCUCAUGGCAACGCUGGACCCUUAACCCACUGAGGGAGGCCAGGGAUCAAAUCUGCGUCCUCCUGGAUGUCAGAUUUGUUUCUGCUGAGCCACCCUCAGGAACUCCUGGAUCUCUUUUUGAUGAUGACCUCAUUCUGUUCUUGUGGCCUCCUUCUGCUUCACCCAGACAGUUUUGAUAUGUGUUGUUUUGCUGUGCUUUUUAAAGUUGGAUGGCAAGCCUAGGUCUGGCCUUCUAGAAGUGGAGUAGAUUCAUGUGUGUGUGAUUUGUUGGGGAAGGGCUCCCAGGAGAGGAAACAGAGCAGACAAAGACAGGAAGCCAAGCAAGGGGGCACCUUCAGGCCAAGUCCCAGUCUCUGCCUGAUCCUGCAGGGGAGCUUGGAGCAGAAGUCCUAGCUCAGGGUUUGUCCAGGCAAGUUAACUGGGAUCUCACAUCUGGAGAGACAUGAACUUCUAAGCACCUUAAACUCUCUGUGGGUGGUGCUGGUUAAGCCAGACCCUGGCCGAAGGCCAUCCUCCAAAGAGAUGCAGCUGGGCUGGUAGAAGAGGUGUGUGUGUAUGCGCGUGUGCAUGUAAGCAUGCAUGGGUGUAGCACCAGGGUCCAGUACAAUGGAGCAUGGCCCCAUUGUUACUUUCCCCCUAAUAUAUCCAAGUUUCCUUCCUUUUUUAAAUGAGAAUUUUACUAUCAGUUUUCCAAACCAGGAGGAAUUUGAAUUGUGAUGGUACUCAAUCUACAAAUGGACUUUGGUCCUUUUCUUUCAAAGCUGACUUUCCUCUCACUGGUUCCACGUCCCUGGAAUGCGUAUUUGUUUAUUGUCUUUUUAGGGUUGUACCCGCUGCAUAUGGAGGUUCCCAGGCUAGAGGUCAAAUCUGAGCUGUAGCUGCCGGUCUACCCCACAGCCAUAGCAACACUGGGUCUGGGCCACAUCUAUGACCUACACCGCAGCUCCCAGGAAUGCCAGAUCCUUAACUCACUGAGCAAAGCCAGGGACUGAAUCCGAGUCCUCAUGGAUACUAGUCAGGUUCAUUAGCGCUGAGCCACCAUGGGAACGGCUUGGGGUGCCUGUUUAGAAUGUUUUAGCUGUAUGGUUGAAGUAAAAAGGCUGGGGAUGAGUGCCUGUGAUCUCUACUGUUACAUAAAUGUUUAAAAUAAUGAUGUCAAAAUUUUGAGAUAAGAACUGGAGUUAAAGUCCAGCAUCAUACGUCUGCUUAAUUAAGGCUGGUGCUCCAGUGAGAGUUCUAAAAUAAACUAAACUGUGGAUUGGUUCAGAUAAUGAUCUUUUAUUUGUUUUUUUGUUUUUCUUUAAAAGUGGUAGGUCAACAUCACUUCAUUUCUACACUUCAGUUCUGUACAUUUCUUAAAAGGAAAUAAGCGAUGCUCAAUGUACAAAGUAAAAACAGAUAACUAGAAAAAUCUGAAGAAAAUGGGGGAAGUUGCCGUAGGUCAUCCAGUACAAAUUAGUAAUUCGAUGUCCUCUGAAGUGCAAAUACCACUGCUGGGAUGAUGAGUUAAGGAAUGAAAUAAAAAUACUCUAUUUUAAACAAACGGUAUAUAUAUAUUUAUAUGUAUAUAUAUUUUUUUUACAGAUAGUAGACCCAGUGAUAUCUGAAGUAUUGUAAAAACUUAUUUACAAAUAACUUUUUUUUUUUUAGACAUUACAUGUACAUCAGCACCUUAGUAAGAACAAAAACAAAACAAAACCACCUUAUUAAAAUCUACCUCUAUUUACUUGGUCCCAGUACUGAGCAUUUGGAGGAAGCUUCUAAAAGAUAAUGGAGCCCCGCUUCCCCCUCCAUCACCACCUCCAGUUUUCCAUCGUUGCUUAGAGAUUUAUUUCUUGGACCUUUCAGAAAAAGGACCUGCUCCCGGAGCUGCGCUGGGGCUCUGCAGCGCUGAGUUACACGACAAUGGCUGUGCCACGUGGCCUGCAAACCUGGACAGCAGGAGGGGAGGCAAGGAGGGCUGAGACAAGCCUCACGGCAGUUGCCAGUCGGGGUGGGUGACCCCUCCCGACAGACUUCAGUGAGGUGCCAAGGCCCCCAGGAGGCUCCAGCCCAGCUCCCUGCAGCGACGGCCACCAUGGUCACCAGCAGAGGGCUGCCUGCCCAGGACUGCAGGACCUUUCUCCAAGCUCCCUUGGUGAUCCUUGUGAGGCAACGUCUCCAACAUUCCUGAGAGUCAUCAUGGGGGGGAGACAGGCCUGUGGAGCCUGUGUCUUCUGGCGACACCUCUCUGGUCUUCUCGCCUGCCCUCCAAAUCCAGUGGCAUGUCUUGAAGGCCAGCCUUUUCUCGCAGUCAGAGUUCAGUGCGUGCAACCACCCAGCCACCUCAGGGGGGGGCCUCUCCUCCACCCCCGGCUCGCUCGCCUCUGUGUCUCCAGCGCUGUGACCCCUGGACCAGGGCCAGGAGGGGCUGUCAGCCACCGCACGUCAGGCAGCAGUCUGUCUUGGCUGGAGCGGCUCUGCUAGGCCAGGCGAUCGCAGGCAGGGCCAAGCAGAGGGGCCGUGGACUCAUCUCUCCACUUGCCUCCUGUGCGGCUCCCUCUCUUGCAGCGGGAUUGGCAAGGUGUCUGUCUUGAUUGCUGGGUGGAACAAAGCCCAGCAGGGCUGGGGAUUGGUACCUGGACCUUCCACUGUCAGCCGGCUGCAGUUCUGCUCAGUUUACAUGGGUCAAAAAAACAAACAAAAAAAACAAGGAUGAGUCCACAUCCUGUUUCUUUUUCAAGGUGGAAGCUUUAACCACUAGGGUUUUGGCUCUCAGGGUCCCUCUUGACUAGGGGUUUCCAAACAGUUCAUCGAGCUCCUGCAUCCACUCAUCCCCUGGCCCGCCUUUGAUGAUGGAGUCCAUGAGAUCGGCACUGUCCGAGAGGCCUGGGAAGGAAGGCCCAGGGGCAUCGCUGCUGUAAUUGUAUGACAUGUCCUGAGGGGGGUUUCGCUCGUAGGCUUGGCUCUGGCUGCUCGGAGCAAAGCUGCCCCCGGGCAUGGGCUGCUGUGCCGGGGGCUGGCUGAAUGCUGGCAUGCCAGCGACGCCCUGGCUUAGGCCAGACAUGACCAUCGGCCUGGCCUGGCCCGUGCCUUGCUGCCCCGGGAGCGGUGGCAUCAGCUGCCGGCCCAUGGCAGCUGGGUUGAGAGUCCUCACGGUGCCAGUGUUAGCAUCCACCACCUGGCUCAGUCCCUGGGGGAAGUGCUGCUUGGUCAGCCUCGGCUGGCCAGCUUGUAACGGGUAGCUGGUGCCGUUGUUGAAGGAUGUUAAUUCUCCACUAGUCCUCCCGGGCAUUGCCUGUAAGCUCCUCUGUUGCCAGCUCUGUGUCCCCUGCUGGACUGUUCCCAUAAUACUCUGCAGCCUUGGUGGGGCCUGGGGCCUGGGCAAGGUCUGGCCUACAGGCCCCUUCAUCUGCUGGUGCUGUGGGGUAAUGGCAGAGUUCACCAGCAUGCUCUGACCAAAACCACUCACCAUCCCGACCCCUGGCCCUGAGGUGGGCUGCCUCGGCCCCUGGGCUUGGUUGUGGGUGAUACUCAUGCCACUUUGGUUUGGGUGCUGCAACAUCUGGGUCAUUCCUGUGCUCAUAUUGUACAUUCCGGGUUGGCUGGUAGGUGUGGUGCUGUAAGGGGCCAGUCCCAUCUCCGACUGGGCUGCUGCUGUGGCCAUUGUCCCUGGGUUCUGGGAGGGUCCCAUUCCCAUCAUGCCUGCAUUCUGUGCCAUCAACCGUGAUGUUCGCAUGCUCUGGAGGGCUGCCUGGCUUCUCACGGCUGCUAUAUCCUGGGGAGACCCUGCAGGGAAAAAGGACACACCAGUUCACUCAUUUCCAUAAGCAAUGUGACAAGCUGGACUUUUCUUUACAAAUGACAAAUUCCUUUUGUACGAAAGGAUCUACUUUGAUAAUCUUUUAAAAGACUGAUC
This 5208-nucleotide long non-coding RNA is filed under the name Sus scrofa (pig). RNAcentral describes it as "lncRNA (ENSSSCG00055006528.1)". Lineage: Eukaryota; Metazoa; Chordata; Mammalia; Artiodactyla; Suidae. The record is from RNAcentral.